AGCAGUAGCCACGGUAACACGAGGGGUGCAAGCGUUAUUCGGAUUGAUUGGGUGUAAAGGGUGUGCAGACGGCUUAUUAAGUCACUUGUUAAAUUCUUCGGCCUAACUGAAGGUCUGCAAGUGAUACUGAAGAGCUAGAGGGUGGAAGAGAGAAGUGGAAUUCUCGGAGUAGCGGUAAAAUGCGUAGAUCUCGAGAGGAACACCAAUGGCGAAGGCAGCUUCUUGGUCCAUUCCUGACGUUCAUACACGAAAGCGUGGGGAGCAAACAGGAUUAGAUACCCCCGUAGUCCCUGUCUCUUAUAC
RNAcentral lists this ribosomal RNA (303 nucleotides) under uncultured bacterium. Its description in RNAcentral is "partial 16S ribosomal RNA". It matches the Rfam family "Bacterial small subunit ribosomal RNA", at positions 507 to 807 of the family's 1533-position model. The record is from RNAcentral.